RNAcentral lists this ribosomal RNA (387 nucleotides) under Dobsonia pannietensis. Its description in RNAcentral is "partial 12S ribosomal RNA". It matches the Rfam family "Bacterial small subunit ribosomal RNA", at positions 794 to 1382 of the family's 1533-position model. The record is from RNAcentral. Lineage: Eukaryota; Metazoa; Chordata; Mammalia; Chiroptera; Pteropodidae.
GCUUAGCCCUAAACCCAAAUAAUUACACAACAAUAUUAUUCGCCAGAGCACUACUAGCAAUAGCUUAAAACUCAAAGGACUUGGCGGUGCUUUAUAUCCCUCUAGAGGAGCCUGUUCUGUAAUCGAUAAACCCCGAUAAACCUCACCGACCCUUGCUAAUACAGCCUAUAUACCGCCAUCUUCAGCAAACCCUAAAAAGGAGCCAUAGUAAGCAAAAAUAUAGAACAUAAAAACGUUAGGUCAAGGUGUAGCCAAUGGGCCGGGAAGAAAUGGGCUACAUUUUCUAAAAUAGAACAUAUACGAAAAUUUUCGUGAAACCGAAAAUAGAAGGAGGAUUUAGCAGUAAAUUAAGAAUAGAGAGCUUAAUUGAAUUAGGCCAUGAAGCAC